Molecule: long non-coding RNA, 734 nt
Organism: Oncorhynchus keta (chum salmon)
Lineage: Eukaryota; Metazoa; Chordata; Actinopteri; Salmoniformes; Salmonidae
Exons: 4
Source: RefSeq, a predicted model, not a curated record
GUGGAGUAGGAGAGGUCUGUCCUGGGUAGUGUAACACUGUGGAGUAGUAGAGUCCUGUCCUGGGUAGUGUAACACUGUGGAGUAGGAGAGUCCUGUCCUGGGUAGUGUAACACUGUGGAGUAGGAGAGGUCUGUCCUGGGUAGUGUAACACUGUGGAGUAGUAGAGUCCUGUCCUGGGUAGUGUGACACUGUGGAGUAGGAGAGUCCUGUCCUGGGUAGUGUGACACUGUGGAGUAGUAGAGUCCUGUCCUGGGUAGUUUGACACUGUGGAGUAGGAGAGGUCUGUCCUGGGUAGUGUGACACUGUGGAGUAGUAGAGUCCUGUCCUGGGUAGUGUGACACUGUGGAGUAGUAGAGUCCUGUCCUGGGUAGUGUGACACUGUGGAGUAGGAGAGUCCUGUCCUGGGUAGUGUGACACUGUGGAGUAGGAGAGGUCUGUCCUGGGUACUGUAACACUGUGGAGUAGGAGAGGUCUGUCCUGGGUACUGUAACACUGUGGAGUAGUAGAGUCCUGUCCUGGGUAGUUUGACACUGUGGAGUAGUAGAUGUCUGUGACGGUGUGUUCAUUCCUCUGUCAAACGCACAGACUGACCAGACUGUCUCACUGGAGCCCAGCUUAACAUAGAGGAGUGGGAGGAGAGCAGCACUCAGCUGGGCUGGGUACUAUGACUCACACACACACACACACACACACACACACACACACACACACACACACACACACACACACACACA